This is a small nuclear RNA of Trichosurus vulpecula (common brushtail), 110 nucleotides long. The record is from RefSeq and is a predicted model, not a curated record. NCBI's taxonomy places the organism in Eukaryota, Metazoa, Chordata, Mammalia, Diprotodontia, Phalangeridae.
GUGCUUACUUCAGCAGCCCAUAUACUAAAAUUGGAAUGAUACAGAGAAGAUUAUCAAGGCCCCUGCUUAAUAAAGAUGACAUACAAAUUUGUGAAGCAUUUCAUAUUUUG